AUGGAUUAAGCCUCUAAGGCUUAGUUUGGUAUUGAGUUAUAUGCGGAAUGCAAUAUUACGUACGAAAACAAAUAAGAUAUUUUUUCAACAUAUUUUCUCACCGCACGUAACGCAAUCACCGCGCAAUCCCAAACGAAGCCUAAGGCGAUGAAAUUUUUACCUGCACCAGAUGUAUACGAGCACCCGUGCACCACACCUAAUUUUUAUAGGCAAAUUCCUUAAAAUUAAAAUCUAAUCCAAUAAAUGCAAUCUACAUCAUAAAAAAAAAUUAUAGAAAUUAAAAGGACUAAUUAUUAUUCUCCUAAUCUUUUUUUUUUUAGAAAAAACUUCAAAUAUUACCCUUGUGGUUUCCUACUUUUCACUUUAAUGCCUUGUGGUUUAAAGUGUAUCAAUUUAGUACUAUGUGGUUUUAUUUUUCUUUUUUAUUAUCCAUUUCAGUAGUUUUUUUCGUUAAACCAGUAACAAAGUUAAAACUAAAGGUAUUAAAGUGAAUAUUUGAUAAAACUACGUGGGGGUAUCUGAAGUUUUUUGUAUAUAAUUUAACAAAAUAUUAACGGAUGAGCUAAUAAAAAGAGAAAAAUGAAACCACGGGAUACUAACGUGAUAAACUUUAAACUAUAGAGUACUAAAAUGAGAAAAUACGAAAUCACAGUGGUGAUUUUUAAAGUUUAAUUACUUUUGUUUUACUGUGAAAAACAGUUUCUUUUAAUUUUUUUGAUCAUGAAGAAAUUGUUAGUUUAAAAUAUAUUUUUUUCUUUUUGACUAUGAACAUAUUGUUGCUUCUAACAAUCACAUCUUUAACCGAUCGUUCCUAGAGCAAGUGGCAAAGGGUUUGGUGCAUGGUUGGUAUCCGAGACCCAAGUUCGAAUUCUAGUUGAUUCACAUUUCCAGUUAAAUUUAUUUCUAAAUGAAAUAAAUAAAACAGCUAGCGUACUACCUAUCUCUCAAAAAAAACAAUCACAUCUUUAUAUCCUCCUCUCUACAUUCAUGUACUAACUAU
This 1000-nucleotide long non-coding RNA is filed under the name Ananas comosus (pineapple). Its description in RNAcentral is "long non-coding RNA (ACOM_LNC021757)". The record is from RNAcentral. Lineage: Eukaryota; Viridiplantae; Streptophyta; Magnoliopsida; Poales; Bromeliaceae.